GAUGAACGCUGGCGGCGUGCUUAACACAUGCAAGUCGAGCGAGAAGUUUUGAAAAGAUUCUUCGGAUGAAAUUUAAAAUGGAAAGCGGCGGACGGGUGAGUAACGCGUAGGCAACCUGCCCCAUACAAAGGGAUAGCAUUUGGAAACGAAUAUUAAUACCUUAUGAAACUUAACUAGUGCAUGCUAGGUAGGUCAAAGAUUUAUCGGUAUGGGAUGGGCCUGCGUCUGAUUAGCUAGUUGGUGAGGUAACGGCUCACCAAGGCGACGAUCAGUAGCCGACCUGAGAGGGUGAACGGCCACAUUGGAACUGAGACACGGUCCAAACUCCUACGGGAGGCAGCAGUGGGGAAUAUUGCACAAUGGGGGAAACCCUGAUGCAGCAACGCCGCGUGAACGAUGAAGGCCUUUGGGUCGUAAAGUUCUGUUCUAGGUGAUGAAAACUGACAGUAACCUAGGAGAAGGCCCCGGCUAACUCCGUG
RNAcentral lists this ribosomal RNA (479 nucleotides) under uncultured bacterium. RNAcentral's name for it is "partial 16S ribosomal RNA". It matches the Rfam family "Bacterial small subunit ribosomal RNA", at positions 28 to 507 of the family's 1533-position model. The record is from RNAcentral.